RNAcentral lists this transfer RNA (74 nucleotides) under Culex quinquefasciatus (southern house mosquito). It matches the Rfam family "tRNA". Rfam says of the family: Transfer RNA (tRNA) molecules are approximately 80 nucleotides in length. Their secondary structure includes four short double-helical elements and three loops (D, anti-codon, and T loops). The record is from Rfam by way of RNAcentral. Lineage: Eukaryota; Metazoa; Arthropoda; Insecta; Diptera; Culicidae.
GCUCGUGUGGAUCAAUCCGACCGCGCACUGGACUCACAAUCCAGAGUUUGCUGGUUCGAAUCCCGCGGCGGGCG